RNAcentral lists this ribosomal RNA (415 nucleotides) under uncultured bacterium. Its description in RNAcentral is "bacterial SSU rRNA". It matches the Rfam family "Bacterial small subunit ribosomal RNA", at positions 355 to 786 of the family's 1533-position model. The record is from RNAcentral.
UCGGGAAUAUUGCGCAAUGGAGGAAACUCUGACGCAGUGACGCCGCGUGCAGGAAGAAGGUUUUCGGAUUGUAAACUGCUUUAGACAGGGAAGAAAAAAGACAGUACCUGUAGAAUAAGCUCCGGCUAACUACGUGCCAGCAGCCGCGGUAAUACGUAGGGAGCAAGCGUUAUCCGGAUUUAUUGGGUGUAAAGGGUGCGUAGACGGGAAAACAAGUUAGUUGUGAAAUCCCUCGGCUUAACUGAGGAACUGCAACUAAAACUAUUUUUCUUGAGUGCUGGAGAGGAAAGUGGAAUUCCUAGUGUAGCGGUGAAAUGCGUAGAUAUUAGGAGGAACACCAGUGGCGAAGGCGACUUUCUGGACAGUAACUGACGUUGAGGCACGAAAGUGUGGGGAGCAAACAGGAUUAGAUACC